UACGAAGGGGGCUAGCGUUGCUCGGAAUCACUGGGCGUAAAGGGUGCGUAGGCGGGUCUUUAAGUCCGGGGUGAAAUCCUGGAGCUCAACUCCAGAACUGCCUUUGAUACUGAGGAUCUUGAGUUCGGGAGAGGUGAGUGGAACUGCGGGUGUAGAGGUGAAAUUCGUAGAUAUUCGCAAGAACACCAGUGGCGAAGGCGGCUCACUGGCCCGAUACUGACGCUGAGGCACGAAAGCGUGGGGAGCAAACAGG
Molecule: ribosomal RNA, 253 nt
Filed under: uncultured bacterium
Lineage: Bacteria
Description: partial 16S ribosomal RNA
Rfam family: Bacterial small subunit ribosomal RNA
Source: RNAcentral